RNAcentral lists this ribosomal RNA (206 nucleotides) under uncultured bacterium. RNAcentral describes it as "partial 16S ribosomal RNA". It matches the Rfam family "Bacterial small subunit ribosomal RNA", at positions 568 to 774 of the family's 1533-position model. The record is from RNAcentral.
CUCGUAGGUGGCCAACUAAGUCAGAUGUGAAAUCCCUCGGCUUAACCGGGGAACUGCGUCUGAUACUGGAUGGCUUGAGUUUGGGAGAGGGACGCGGAAUUCCAGGUGUAGCGGUGAAAUGCGUAGAUAUCUGGAGGAACACCGGUGGCGAAGGCGGCGUCCUGGACCAACACUGACACUGAGGAGCGAAAGCCAGGGAGCAAACA